GAAAAAAGUUGAAACAAUUCUUAUGUCCAAAUGGGCUCUUAAUAUAUGUUGCUGAAAGUUUAAAUGAGAAACAUUUUACUUUGUUAAGCCAGUGAACUUGUGAUCGCUGCAGAAUUUUGAUAUUUUACCACUAUUCUCUUGUAUUCUAGCGAAAGGCAAACAUUUCUUGUUUCUGCUUUGCAAAGUGAUGAACUAGUGGGCUUGUAUUUCAUGUUCAUGCAUUUUCAUUAAAUGUUUUAGGCUUUUAGCGUGUAAUUAUUCCCUUCAUAUUUUUGUUGGUAAUUAUAGUGUGUGUUUCAGUAAUAGAUUGAAAUUCAAAUUUUGUCUUUUAGCUUUAUGAGUUCAGUUUUUUCACGUUCUCAAUGGUUUUUGUUGGUUAUUAAUGUCAAAAUUACUAUAGAAUUAAUCAAAAUCACUAUGUGGGGAAUGCAAAGAAGUCCGAACGGUUGCUUCUUUACUACUUGUAGCUUUAAGCUGAGAUGAGCCUGAGUGGAAUGACCUUUAAUGCAAAUGAUAAGUUCAUUAGAUGUGAUUUAGCUCCUUCUUCCUCCUCCUUCCUCUUGAUGAACCCUCUCCCCUCUCGAUUCCUUUCUUCUGCUCUUGCUUCUCUCACGCUUUUCUGGUCGGAUUCCGGCAAGUCUUCAUUCUCCGUCUCUCUUUUCUUCUUCUUUUUUUUUUUUCUCUUUUCUCUCUUCUGCGGGCGUGGGUUAAGCAGCAUUCCGACAGUCUCUCCGGUGUGUACUACCGGUGGUUUUUAUUGGUACCGGCAGGCCCAAUCCAGCGGGCUUUAUUGGUAUCGGCAACCCUCCCACAGGCCUUCACCUCUAUUCGGCAGCUUAUUGGCAUCCUCGGCGUUAAUCCAGGUUCUAUCAUUCUUGCCUUUGGUGAUUCAUUUUUUUUUGGCUAAUAUUUGCGUGCCAUUCUGUUAUUUCGCCUUAGACUUUUAUUUUCAAUAUGACUUGCCAUUCUUUAGUUAUGUUGUUUUCAGUUGGACUUGCUUUGAUUUACUUUUUUACAACUAGAGCCUUAUAUAGUAGACUUUAUUUCUUGUUGCGGGCAGGGGCGAAGGUACAUGGUAGCAAGGGUGGUCAACUGACCACCCUUCGUCGAAAAAUAAUACUGUGUAUAUAGGUAAAAUAUUAGGAUUUAUAUAUAUGUAAUACAUAUUCAACCCAUGUAUGACUUUUGGUUUUUUGGUCAUUUUCUUCUGUAGCAACACCUAUCCGUGAUGGCAUGAGGACGCUCACAGAGCAUGGAAUCCAAUGAGGUGGAUAUGUUGUGUCAUUGGAGAAAAUAAGCCAAAUGGCUUAGCUUCUUGAAAAUAGAAGAAGUGCGGGCCAUAUAUCCUGCCUAGUUCUUAUUUGACCUAAACUAAUUGAUAUAAUCCUUGAAGAAAUGAGAAAGGGCUAUGUCUUCGCAUACAACGCGACAUUCGUGUCUCAUGUAUGGUUUAAGUCAUGGAAAUGGAUCUGUCAGUAUGCAUUCAUGUGUGAAAUUCUCAUCUUUGUAUAGCUGAAAGUUCUUUUCUCGUGUAUAAGAUGGAUAUGGAUCAGAUUAAAAUUAUGGUCUUGUACUUGAAAGGCGUUGUGCAUUUAUACAAUGAAGUGCAGGUUUUUGGUCUUCUUUUGUGUUCGCGGUUACACUUUAGGUGGUAUGCUCUCCUUUAAGAUUACAGUCUUGCGAUUUCCAUUUGUUCCUCUUACUGUCUUAGAAUUAGUGAGUUGGAGUUCCAUUUUCUUGAUAUUAACUGGUUGCAAUGGCAAAAUACUAGGGACAAUUGGGAAGACGGAAACCCUGGUUCUUGGGGGUAAAGUCUGCAAUAUCAGCCAUCCAGUCCAGUGAUGCUGGUUCCUGGUUCUGUAGGACUAACACUCCUAGCGAUAAUUACAGUGAUGCUGGGACCCCAAGGGACAAUGGUUCCGCAUGUGCGCUAAUUCUCCAACUCCUUAUUUGCCACCAACUCCUGGUGGCCAACCACCAAUGACACCGAGUUAAGCAUAUAUACCUGGUCUUCCUGGUGUGCAGCCAAUGACUCCCUGAAGUGAUGUCACCUUUAGGAGCAUUCCGACAGUCUCUCCGGUGUGUACUACCGGUGGUUUUUAUUGGUACCGGCAGGCCCAAUCCAGCGGGCUUUAUUGGUAUCGGCAACCCUCCCACAGGCCUUCACCUCUAUUCGGCAGCUUAUUGGCAUCCUCGGCGUUAAUCCAGGUUCUAUCAUUCUUGCCUUUGGUGAUUCAUUUUUUUUUGGCUAAUAUUUGCGUGCCAUUCUGUUAUUUCGCCUUAGACUUUUAUUUUCAAUAUGACUUGCCAUUCUUUAGUUAUGUUGUUUUCAGUUGGACUUGCUUUGAUUUACUUUUUUACAACUAGAGCCUUAUAUAGUAGACUUUAUUUCUUGUUGCGGGCAGGGGCGAAGGUACAUGGUAGCAAGGGUGGUCAACUGACCACCCUUCGUCGAAAAAUAAUACUGUGUAUAUAGGUAAAAUAUUAGGAUUUAUAUAUAUGUAAUACAUAUUCAACCCAUGUAUGACUUUUGGUUUUUUGGUCAUUUUCUUCUGUAGCAACACCUAUCCGUGAUGGCAUGAGGACGCUCACAGAGCAUGGAAUCCAAUGAGGUGGAUAUGUUGUGUCAUUGGAGAAAAUAAGCCAAAUGGCUUAGCUUCUUGAAAAUAGAAGAAGUGCGGGCCAUAUAUCCUGCCUAGUUCUUAUUUGACCUAAACUAAUUGAUAUAAUCCUUGAAGAAAUGAGAAAGGGCUAUGUCUUCGCAUACAACGCGACAUUCGUGUCUCAUGUAUGGUUUAAGUCAUGGAAAUGGAUCUGUCAGUAUGCAUUCAUGUGUGAAAUUCUCAUCUUUGUAUAGCUGAAAGUUCUUUUCUCGUGUAUAAGAUGGAUAUGGAUCAGAUUAAAAUUAUGGUCUUGUACUUGAAAGGCGUUGUGCAUUUAUACAAUGAAGUGCAGGUUUUUGGUCUUCUUUUGUGUUCGCGGUUACACUUUAGGUGGUAUGCUCUCCUUUAAGAUUACAGUCUUGCGAUUUCCAUUUGUUCCUCUUACUGUCUUAGAAUUAGUGAGUUGGAGUUCCAUUUUCUUGAUAUUAACUGGUUGCAAUGGCAAAAUACUAGGGACAAUUGGGAAGACGGAAACCCUGGUUCUUGGGGGUAAAGUCUGCAAUAUCAGCCAUCCAGUCCAGUGAUGCUGGUUCCUGGUUCUGUAGGACUAACACUCCUAGCGAUAAUUACAGUGAUGCUGGGACCCCAAGGGACAAUGGUUCCGCAUGUGCGCUAAUUCUCCAACUCCUUAUUUGCCACCAACUCCUGGUGGCCAACCACCAAUGACACCGAGUUAAGCAUAUAUACCUGGUCUUCCUGGUGUGCAGCCAAUGACUCCCUGAAGUGAUGUCACCUUUAGGAGGUGUGUCCCCUGUUCCUCACAAUAGCUUGUGUGUCUUUUGGAGUGACACA
Molecule: long non-coding RNA, 3455 nt
Organism: Nicotiana attenuata
Lineage: Eukaryota; Viridiplantae; Streptophyta; Magnoliopsida; Solanales; Solanaceae
Exons: 6
Source: RefSeq, a predicted model, not a curated record